GACGAACGCUGGCGGCGUGCUUAACACAUGCAAGUCGAACGGAAAGGCCCUGCUUUUGUGGGGUGCUCGAGUGGCGAACGGGUGAGUAACACGUGAGUAACCUGCCCUUGACUUUGGGAUAACUUCAGGAAACUGGGGCUAAUACCGGAUAGGAGCUCCUGCUGCAUGGUGGGGGUUGGAAAGUUUCGGCGGUUGGGGAUGGACUCGCGGCUUAUCAGCUUGUUGGUGGGGUAGUGGCUUACCAAGGCUUUGACGGGUAGCCGGCCUGAGAGGGUGACCGGCCACAUUGGGACUGAGAUACGGCCCAGACUCCUACGGGAGGCAGCAGUGGGGAAUAUUGCACAAUGGGCGGAAGCCAGAUGCAGCAACGCCGCGUGCGGGAUGACGGCCCUCGGGUUGUAAACCGCUUUCGCCUGUGACGAAGCGUGAGUGACGGUAAUGGGUAAAGAAGCACCGGCUAACUACGUGCCAGCAGCCGCGGUGAUACGUAGGGUGCGAGCGUUGUCCGGAUUUAUUGGGCGUAAAGGGCUCGUAGGUGGUUGAUCGCGUCGGAAGUGUAAUCUUGGGGCUUAACCCUGAGCGUGCUUUCGAUACGGGUUGACUUGAGGAAGGUAGGGGAGAAUGGAAUUCCUGGUGGAGCGGUGGAAUGCGCAGAUAUCAGGAGGAACACCAGUGGCGAAGGCGGUUCUCUGGGCCUUUCCUGACGCUGAGGAGCGAAAGCGUGGGGAGCGAACAGGCUUAGAUACCCUGGUAGUCCACGCUGUAAACGGUGGGUACUAGGUGUGGGGUCCAUUCCACGGGUUCCGUGCCGUAGCUAACGCUUUAAGUACCCCGCCUGGGGAGUACGGCCGCAAGGCUAAAACUCAAAGGAAUUGACGGGGCCCCGCACAAGCGGCGGAGCAUGCGGAUUAAUUCGAUGCAACGCGUAGAACCUUACCUGGGUUUGACAUGGAUCGGGAGUGCUCAGAGAUGGGUGUGCCUCUUUUGGGGUCGGUUCACAGGUGGUGCAUGGCUGUCGUCAGCUCGUGUCGUGAGAUGUUGGGUUAAGUCCCGCAACGAGCGCAACCCUUGUUCACUGUUGCCAGCACGUUAUGGUGGGGACUCAGUGGAGACCGCCGGGGUCAACUCGGAGGAAGGUGGGGAUGGCGUCAAGUCAUCAUGCCCCUUAUGUCCAGGGCUUCACGCAUGCUACAAUGGCUGGUACAGAGAGUGGCGAGCCUGUGAGGGUGAGCGAAUCUCGGAAAGCCGGUCUCAGUUCGGAUUGGGGUCUGCAACUCGACCUCAUGAAGUCGGAGUCGCUAGUAAUCGCAGAUCAGCAACGCUGCGGUGAAUACGUUCCCGGG
RNAcentral lists this ribosomal RNA (1343 nucleotides) under uncultured bacterium. Its description in RNAcentral is "16S ribosomal RNA". It matches the Rfam family "Bacterial small subunit ribosomal RNA", at positions 28 to 1378 of the family's 1533-position model. The record is from RNAcentral.